CAAAAAGUAGUUUAUAAAAAAUAGUAGUUUUGGGUACUACCGAAGAGAGUAUUCUUUUUGA
Molecule: transfer RNA, 61 nt
Filed under: Crypturopus inflatus
Lineage: Eukaryota; Metazoa; Arthropoda; Malacostraca; Amphipoda; Micruropodidae
Description: tRNA-Pro
Source: RNAcentral